AAGACGACUGGCAUCAACCUCGGGUACCUCUUCAACAGUCAAGUCCUCCAAAGGAACAGAUAUUGUAGUCGAGGGAUCCGGCACUACCCCUGUCUCUACAGGGAUAGUCUCCUCUGCAUCUCUGCACCAAAAAGCAUCACUACAUGAUUUCAAGACAACCCAACGUCAUUCAAACAGACAAGAAAGCUCACCAGGUUGAACGUGGCGGCAGUCGCACACACUUCUUCUCGGCGACAGGCAGCCGAGUACUAGGAGCUGCGGGAAUAGCCACCGGCGCUGUCUUCUCGCCAAGGCCUACAAAACCAAAGUCAAGACUACAGUACUACUCAAACGAAUACAAUCGGAAGGGACAACGCUUACCACUGGCGAUCAAGUUGGACAGCAAAGUACCAGUAGCAAGUACUGGUGACACCUCCUUUGCAACGCCCGCUACUCCAGCAGGCAGCCCCAGGACUGCUUGGUCAGCAAUGGGCGGCAUGGCAGCCGAUGGAGUAGGCGCGGAUAGCUCGGGGGCAACUCCAGUUUCUGUUGAUGGCGCCUCC
RNAcentral lists this long non-coding RNA (542 nucleotides) under Setaria viridis. RNAcentral's name for it is "long non-coding RNA (SVIR_LNC009366)". Lineage: Eukaryota; Viridiplantae; Streptophyta; Magnoliopsida; Poales; Poaceae. The record is from RNAcentral.